GAAAAGAUGAAAAGAAUAAAAUGUGUGAAGAACUAUCCCGUAUUUCAAGACAAAUUCUGCGUCCCGAACAGGACGCGGUUUCCCGUAUAUGACUGCAGCCUGCAAUUUCUAUUUACAAACACCAGAUGGCACUGUUCUCAUUACUUACAUAGAUCUAUAAAAAAAAAUAAAAAUCGCAGCUGCGCUUCCGUUUGCAAACGAUUCUUCCGGUCAGAAGUUACAGCUAAUUCAACAAAAAAUGUUUUAUACGCUAUGCCAUGGGGACAAUUAUAAAGAACAGGAAACUCUGUAACUGCAACAAAGGACUGGGAACAAAAGAAUCCGUGAGCUAAACCUGCUAAUGACCUGAUUAAAGCUUUUUGCAACUGGACAUGGAGGUCCAGCUCUGACAGCAGAGUCAGCCGGCAGAGGAACGCCAGCCCCCCGUCGGUCACAGUGUGGCGUCCAGGAAGCGUGAGCUUUCACAUUGACGGAGCUUCAACGGAAAAACAGCCUAUCAACACCGCGGAGAGACGGGAUUCCAUCUCCAACAGGCAGCGGAGAACAAAUCUCAUUUCUUCCUCGGUGACUGACAGGUUUAAACCCCCAACCAGAACCGCAUGUGGAGGUUUAUUUACGUGACACUGAUAUUUUGCCCGAAGAGACUCAAAUGAAGAGAAAGUAAAAGCUUCGUUUAGUACACAUUAAUAGACGCAGGUGUCAAAAAAAAGUACAGAUACUUGCAUGAAAACAUAUUCUAGUAAAAGUAUUGAUCAAUAAAAUUUUAUUUGUAUAACACAGCAAUAAGGUAUUACAAAAUGCUUUACAUCAUAAA
This is a non-coding RNA of Poecilia reticulata (guppy), 814 nucleotides long. NCBI's taxonomy places the organism in Eukaryota, Metazoa, Chordata, Actinopteri, Cyprinodontiformes, Poeciliidae. The record is from RefSeq and is a predicted model, not a curated record.